Long non-coding RNA from Apis mellifera (honey bee), 317 nucleotides. RefSeq lists it as uncharacterized. The transcript is spliced from 2 exons. The record is from RefSeq and is a predicted model, not a curated record. Lineage: Eukaryota; Metazoa; Arthropoda; Insecta; Hymenoptera; Apidae.
CAAGGCAGCUAAAAAUGAUUUUCACUUGAAUAUCUUCUCGAUUGCAUGCUCAGUUGCAUGUAUUGUUAAUUACGGAAGGCAAAAUUAUCGUGCGCGCUAAUUUUUGUUCGAUAGAUCCGCAUUGCAGUUUUCAUGAGCUCUUCAACUUUCAACUUACCGGUCCUCGAGGGAAGGAGAAGAAGAAGAAUAGCGGGCAGAUAGAAUACCCACACGAGUAUUUUCGAGUAGAGGCUCGAACUGCUCUUCAUGGUUCUCGAUUGAGUUAGCCACAGAAGAUCAAAGAAUGAUGUCCACCAGGGAGGCUAGAUAGAUGAAAA